UACGAGUGCUCCAAGCGUUAUCCGGAAUCAUUGGGCGUAAAGGGUGUGUAGGUGGUCAUGUUAGUCUCGUGCUAAAUUCUUCGGCUUAACCGGGGGCUCGCGCGGGAAACGGCAUGACUUGAGGAUGGGAGGGGUGUGUGGAACUCAUAGUGUAGGGGUGAAAUCCGUUGAUAUUAUGGGGAACACCAAAAGCGAAGGCAGCACACUGGCCCACUCCUGACACUGAAACACGAAAGCGUGGGUAGCGAAUGGG
This 253-nucleotide ribosomal RNA is filed under the name uncultured bacterium. RNAcentral describes it as "partial 16S ribosomal RNA". It matches the Rfam family "Bacterial small subunit ribosomal RNA", at positions 524 to 776 of the family's 1533-position model. The record is from RNAcentral.